CCUACGGGUGGCAGCAGUGGGGAAUAUUGCACAAUGGGGGAAACCCUGAUCCAGCCACGUCGCGUGAGUGAGGAAGUCUCUCGGUAUGUAACGCUUCAUCAGCAGGGAAUAGAAAAGAAGGUACCUGAAACAGAAGCCCCGUCUAACUACGGGCCAGCAGGCGCGGUAAUACGUAGGGGGCAAGCGUUAUCCGGAUUUACUGGGUGUAAAGGGAGCGUAGACGGGAAGGCAAGUCAGGAGUGAAAGCCAAAGGCUCAACCAUGGGACUGCUUUUGAAACUGUCAAACUAGAGUACGGGAGAGGUAAGAGGAAGUCGUGGGGUAGCGGUGAAAUGCAUAGAUAUUAGGAGGAACACCAGUGGCGAAGGCGUCUUACUGGACCGAAACUGACGUUGAGGCUCGAAAGCGUGGGUAGCAAACAGGAUUAGAUACCCGUGUAGUC
RNAcentral lists this ribosomal RNA (441 nucleotides) under uncultured bacterium. RNAcentral's name for it is "partial 16S ribosomal RNA". It matches the Rfam family "Bacterial small subunit ribosomal RNA", at positions 338 to 795 of the family's 1533-position model. The record is from RNAcentral.